Long non-coding RNA from Galeopterus variegatus (Sunda flying lemur), 894 nucleotides. RefSeq lists it as uncharacterized. Lineage: Eukaryota; Metazoa; Chordata; Mammalia; Dermoptera; Cynocephalidae. The transcript is spliced from 3 exons. The record is from RefSeq and is a predicted model, not a curated record.
UUUUAAGUGCAUAGUCCAAUAGAAAAUGAUCUGUGUGAAGUAGACACAUUAUUUACACAUCAAGACUCUACUAGUUGAACUGAGUAACCCAGAAAAUCAUCUGAGAAAUUCAGUUUGUUGAAAAGAUUGACAGAAAUCCAGAUCUGAAAAUAAUGAAAAAAUUUUCCUCAUUUUCCCUUCUCCUGUGUUCUGUCUGAUGGUGGCACCAAUGAGCAAUGGAAUAACCAAAAGCCAGGACACCUGGCAGAAGCUGAAGGUGCGCUAACUCUAAAAGGACUGAUGAGAACUUUGCUGUGCUUGUAGAGAGGACUCCCCUUUACUGAAUGCCUUUUAUGCACGAUCUGCAUUAUAUGAAUUGUCCUAUUAAUCCUCAAAACCAUUCUAUGAGGCUUGAACAGCUCCAUACUUGUAGUGGACAGAAACUGCAGCCGACUUUCUUGCACAAGAACCUGGAAUUAUGGCUGUGUGUGCAUAGCUGAACUUUGCUGAAGCACUGAGUUCUGAUUAAUGCAAUUAAACGAGUGAAGGGAUCACUUGAGGAAGAGCCUGAAUGGAUUUCUGAAAAGGCCAUAAUAUUUUAAAAGCCCAUUUACAAGAGAAGAUGUGUGGUAACUUUGAAGUAUACCUCAAUUAAUGGCACAGACAGUGAAAUGAGUAUCUUCAGAGUUAGUCAAGGACAUCAGGAAUUAUUUACUUAAAAUGAAAAUAUUGAAAGUAUUAAACUGUAUUUGUCAGCUACUGUUAUGAACUAACAUUUCACGGAGGAUUAAGUGCUACUACAGUCUGUACUAAAUUAACUUUUAUUUUUAACUUUGUGUCAUUCUGUUCUUCAAACGUCUUUCUGGGUUAAUGACUUAUAAAAAUAAUAUAAAUUAAAAAUUUCCCUGAAAUAUA